Molecule: non-coding RNA, 28 nt
Filed under: Rattus norvegicus (Norway rat)
Lineage: Eukaryota; Metazoa; Chordata; Mammalia; Rodentia; Muridae
Source: RNAcentral
UGAUGGAGUAAAGUCGUUGUGUGAGGUC